ACCUUUAGGAGGAGGGAUGUAGAAAUU
RNAcentral lists this non-coding RNA (27 nucleotides) under Cricetulus griseus (Chinese hamster). The record is from RNAcentral. Lineage: Eukaryota; Metazoa; Chordata; Mammalia; Rodentia; Cricetidae.